GGCGGCGCAGGGCGUCGGGUCGGUCAUCACGCAGGCGGUGUUCAACAGCAUGCUGCCCAACCGCGACAACUCGCAGUGCCCGGCGAGGGGCUUCUACACGUACGACGCCUUCAUCGCCGCCGCCAACUCCUUCCCGGCGUUCGGCACCUCCGGCGGCAGCGCCGAGCUCAUCCGGCGGGAGCUCGCCGCCUUCUUCGGCCAGACCUCCCACGAGACCACCGGUACAUUAUUAGUUACAGUGUGCAGAUUAAUCUUACCGCCAUUUUUUUACCAUCUUGAUCUGAGUAUUAACCGUGGUAAAUUAAUUCAGGUGGAACGAGGGGUAGUUCUGACCAGUUCCAGUGGGGUUACUGCUUCAAAGAGGAGAUAAACAAGGCGACUUCUCCACCCUACUAUGGACGUGGCCCAAUUCAAUUGACAGGGUAACUAUAAUUAACUGCAGAAAUAUUUUUUCCCACUGCUUCAAUAGAGAGAAGUAAAUUAAACAACUAUGUCAUAUCCAAAACAUAAAAAAGAAAGAUAUCAUCUUGAAAAGUACUGGAGUAGGAGCCACAAAAGUAAACCAAUUUCGACCUGGUCGCAAGUUUACUUUAGCUCUUACAUCUUUUUCUUCAUGGUCCAACAAUCCUAUCUGUUGCCUGUACCUUCUUCACCGUAGUUACUCCCUCCGGACUGAUAAUAUUAGUCGUUUUAAAUAAGGGUAUAACCAAAUUUUAAAAGCUUUGAUUAUAAAUAAUUUCUAAAAUAUUUAUCUUAAAAAUAUAAAAAACCAUAUGUGUAGAUUAGUCUUAAAAAGUACUUCAAUAAAAUCAUAUAUUUGUUGAUAUUUCUAUAUAUAUUAUAAUAGAAAAUAGUUAUCAAAGCUAUUUUUUUAAGACCGUGUCCUUAUUCAAAACGAUAAGUAUUAUCAACAUGGAGGGAGUAUCAUCAGAUGCCAUCUCUUCUUAAACUUAGCCACUUCUUUAAUUAGCAGUAUACUUCCUCUGAGUCUACAUCAAAAAGUAGCUAAAAGAAGAAAUAAUUAUAUUAGCAUUUGAUGAAGUUAGGGUUUUUUUAUAUUGGUUCGUGUUGGAUGAGUAGAAAAUAAACUUAUUUUAGGAUGAAAGUAGUAAAAUUCCUACCCUAACGAAACAGAGACCCAAAUCUGAUAUGAUAAAAUGGUUUUUUUUUUAGGCAAUCGAACUACCAAGCAGCCGGGAACGCGCUGGGGCUGGACCUGGUGGGCAACCCAGACCUGGUGUCCACCGACGCCGUGGUCUCCUUCAAGACGGCCAUCUGGUUCUGGAUGACGGCGCAGGGGAACAAGCCGUCGUGCCACGACGUCAUCCUCGGCCGGUGGACGCCGUCGGCGGCGGACACCGCCGCCGGCCGCGUCCCCGGGUAUGGCGUCAUCACCAACAUCAUCAACGGCGGCAUCGAGUGCGGCGUCGGCCAGAACGACGCCAACGUCGACCGCAUCGGCUACUACAAGCGCUACUGCGACAUGCUCGGCGCAGGCUACGGCAGCAACCUCGACUGCUACAACCAGCGCAACUUCGCCAGCUAGCUAGCUGAGUGAUCGAUCGAUCCAUCGGAUUGUUAUCCUAUUGCAUGAUCGUUCGAUCAGUUAGUACUACCAAUAAAAACUGGCAUGUAGUGAUGUAGUAUCCCAACAUGAAUAAAGGUCUUUAAUCAAAUAAAGGCAAAUAUCAAUUGCUUUAACUGCUACAGGCACGACGAUACUGAUCUCACCCCAAAAAUUUACACCAUGUCACAUGGAACGUUUGAACACAUGCAUGAAGUAUUAAAUAUAUACUACAAAAUAACUAAUUGUACAGAUUACAACUAAUUUGCGGGACGAAUCUUUGAGCCUAAUUGCUCCAUGAUUUGAUAGUGUGGUUCUACAGUAAACAUUUGCUAAUGACGGAUUAAUUAGGCUUAAUAAAUUUAUCUCACGAUUUACUGAAAAAUUCUGUAAUUAGUUUUUUAAUAAUGCCCGAACACCCCAUGCGACACCCUAUAUAAUAUCCAAUAUGACACGUCAAAACUUUACACCCCUAGAUCUAAACACACCCUUAAUAUCAUAAUAGUUUUUUUAAGCCAGUCUCAACCCAAUGACUAAGAUGAUGCCCAUAGCAUUAAAUAAGGUGCCACCUAGAAUGAAAGAUGAUGUGGCAAAUAAAUAAAUGAAGAAAGAGAAGGAAACCAGGUCUUACAUGAUACAUGAUUUCUACACAACAUCCAAGAAAUCAUGUGAGAUAAAUAGCAUUAAAUUUAAGUAUAUGGAACAAUAGUGUUUGUAUUGAAAUAGUAGUGUCUGGUACUAGUUUCUUGAUGAUGUGGAGUUUAUGAAAACUAUGUCUAAUGUCUUGGGUUGGGACUGGCCUUAUAAUGUCAUAAUAGUUUAAUAUAUAUCCAAUAAUUCCAUACUAUCAUAAUAUUUAUCUAAAUAGUUUUUUAUACGUGCUUUUUUUAAAAAAAUGAAUUGUCUAGUUGCGCUUUGCUUUGCUUCCUCGGAGAUGGAGCAGGUGCGAGGAAAUUGGCUCAUUGACUUAACCGCCUCUCUAAAAUAGACUCUCCAAACAUCUUUAUAGCAAGCUAUCCAUUUGAUUUAGCAAGUCAAAGUCGUUGCUUGCUCCAACAGCUUCUCUAUCUACCCUCUCUGUGUUAGAGUGCGCAGCUCGGCCCAACAAUCGUGGGCCACCCAGGUCACAUUGGGCCUGCUUCACCACAGGCCCAACCGGAGCCAAAACUUUAGGUCCUGGGCCUACACAACCCAAAAGACUAGUCUGAUUGGUGAGUUUUAAGUCGUGUUCCCCCACUAUCAAUUACCGAUGCAACCCAUGUGACCCCGAAGACUUGUUACCUGGCCUCCCCACCAUGUGACCCAUGGAAAUUGUUCUGAAUUCCAAACCUUGAGCUCUGAUACCACUUGUUAGAGUGCGCAACCCGGUCCACCAACCGUGGGCCACCCAGGUCACAUUGGAUCUGCUUCACCAUAGGCCCAACCGAAGCCACAAUUUUAGGUCCUGGGCCUACACAACCAAAAGACUAAUCUGAUAGGUGAAGACCGCCUCCACCUUUUAAGUCGUGCUCCCCCAUCAUCAAUUACCAAUGUGUGACUAAACCAAACACUCUACUACCCUUCUUCCUCCUCUUCCACCCCAUUUUCCCCACUCACAUCUCCCUUCCUCCUCCUGGACUACAGCCUCCUCCCCACACCCUCUCCUUCGAUGCGGCGACGGCGGACGGCAGGCCGCGGGCGUGCGAAGCAACGAGCUGCAGUGAGCGGCGGCGGACUGUAGUGAGAUGAGGCAACGCAAAGCUGGCGGGCUGCGGCGAGCGGAGGCGGUGGGUGGUGGCGAGCGGAGGCCGGCGACUGAGGCAAGCGGAGGCGGCGGCUAUGGCGAGUUGAGGCUGCGGGCUGCCGUGAGCGGAGGCGGUGGCGGAAGCGGCAGGUGUAGGCCGGCGGAAGCGGCAGGUGUAGGACGGCGGCUGCAGCACCGCCUCCGCUGGCUGCAGUACGCCGCCGCCACUCGCAUAGGAGAGGAUGCGCGCACGGAUGGUAGUCUCGUCGUUGUCCACCAUCCUUUAGGGCUACGGGCGCCAUUGUCGCGGCGAGCGCCGUCAUCGUGGCAGGCGUCGUCGUCGCCGCAUCGUAGCAGUGCUCCUCCCCGUGCCUCCUCGCGUUGUGCUCGAGCUCGCCGUCGAAAUUGGGUGGGAAAGAGACGAAUGCGAGAGAGAGAGGGAGGGGGUGGAGGAGAUUGGCUAUGUGGGGUCCACCAUUGGCUAGCCAAAUAGAGUGGCCAAAUAUAGCCAAUGAGGAGGAUGGUUUGGCCAGCCAAAUAGCUUGACCGGUGAGUUGAAGAGGCUGUUGGAGAAUGUUUUUUAGGUAGCUGUUGGAGAUGCUCUUAGAGAACAAACACUUGAUGACGUGACGACGGACGACUACCGAUCCAACCGUUCCAUGGUGCCGGCAGAUUUGAUCGGACGGUGCGUAUAAAGCCUCUCCCCACGUCGGCGUCGACUUUGACGUGUAGUAUUUUAAGAGGAGAGGCCGUGUUGCGUCUAGGCAUUUCUCGGGUUGGGCUCAGCCCAUGUUUACUUGGGCCUGCAUCCUCGUUGGUUGAGCCCAUAAGGCCUAACCAGGCCCGUAUUUAGUUGGGCGCAGUUUCUGCAUCCCAGUUAAUCCUGAUGACGUCGAACGGUGCGUUUGCCUAGUGACUAUUAGUGGUAAAAACGGAUCGUAUUCGGAUGGAUAGUAGUCAUAUCAUAUUUUAUACUAUAUUUUUUAAGCAGAUUUAGAGCCGGUGCAGAUAACAUACGGAUACAGAUGUGGAGCGAAUUGUUUGGGAUAUCGGAAAUGGUGCGGAGCUGGUGAGAACUCGGCUCGGAAACGAAUAAAAAUUAAUUGGAUAUGACAUGUAUAUGCAAUCGAUAUACAACAUUUAUUCAUCCAUAUUAUUUUCAACAGCAGCAAUGGAUCUAGCUCUUUUGCUUGGUGCCAUUUUAGGUGUCUUGAUGAGUGAUGGACAAUUAAUUAAAAUCCAACCAAUAUGAGCCAUUAACCAACUGUGGCUUUGUGAAAACAAAGCUGAAAUUUAACAAUACAUACAACAUGUUUUAGUUAGGGGCUUAGGAGUACUCAGCAUAUAUAUUUGGAAUUAGGAGGAUACAUGUUUUAGAUCAAUGGAUAUAGGCUGUACCUGGAUGGGCUGGAUUUUUACAUGAUAAAACUGCUCACGCCUAAUGGGCCAAAUUUAGUGUUAUAUUGUAACGCUCCGCUUUUCGCGUAACGUUAAAAACUAAUUAGGCAAAAUCCUAUACGCAAAAAUUUCGUUCUUUGAGUGAGAGUUUAAGUCGUGCCAUGGAUCUCAAUUCAAUCUCCAUCGUUGUUCCCUCUCAUCGCCAUCAAAAUCCUCCACCUCAAGUUUCCAAUCCCGAUUCAAGUUUCCGAAAUCAAAUCCUGAAAUUCAAUCGCCUCCUUUGAAUCCGCACCAAAUACUUGUCCCGAUUCCACAAAUAUCCGAGUCCACCUUGAAUCCAUUCCUUGACUCCUCCCUGUUUCCCUGAGUCCAAGUAAUCAAAUUCGAAAUUCAAUUCCAAAUCCAAAUCCCUUCCAAAUCAUCUCUCUGCAAAAGUCUAUUUGCCUCCCCCUUGGUCGUUGGGCCGAUUCUUCCUUCCUUGGCCCAUCUCCUCCCUCAGCCUCGCACGUGCGUUGCACGCGCCGAGCCGAGCCGAGAGAGAGCUCUCUCGCUCUCUCGUUCUUUCUCUCUCUUGAUGCUUUCUCUCUCUCACGCGCCAACGUCGAUUUCCCACCGGCAUCGCUCAAACCUCCACCGCCUUCGCUCGUUCCCGCGCGCGCUCCCGCCAUGGUGGCCGACCGCCCUCGGUCGCCGUUCGCCCUGGCCCGCCUGCGCCGCGCAGCCGCCAACGCCCACUCUGCCGCCGCCCCCACCUCUGCGCCGCAGCGCGCAUGUGUCCAAGACGCGGAGGCAGCACCUUUCUCUCCCACGCACUCUCUCCUCCCUCAGCUCGCCCAAAAUCGGCAAGGAGCUGAGCUCCUUUCUCCCUCCCCCUUUUUGCUUUUUCCCCGACCGGCGCCACCGUCACCUCCUUUGCCACCCGUGAUCGCCUCUGUCACAGCUUGACCGCGAGUCCGCCACUGCCUCUCCUUGAUCGCCCGUGCUCGGUUCCAUCCCCUCGAAGCUCCACAUCCCGCGCCUAUAAAACCACAGCCGAGCCCCUCCCCUCCAUCUCUCUCAUUUUCGCCCCCACCGCGCCAUUGCAGCCGAACAACCAUCGCCGCCCUGUUGCCGCUCGACCCGAUCUCGUUGUCGCCGUCCGCCGCCGAGCACCGGAGGAACCGGUGCGUGCGUGGGCGCGUGACGAGGAGCUCCGGGCGCCACCUCUCCUCUCUUCCUCCCCGGUCGCGCCCACUCGGUGCCGCGCCGUCCUACCGUCGCGACCACCUCGCCACGACUCCCUCCGAUCCGCCGACGCCGUUUCCUCUCGUUGGUGAGCUCCCCGCCGAAUCCUUUCCUCCUACCGCUCGCUAUGCCGCGCCCGCCACCGCACGCCAUAGCCUGACGCACGAUGUGCCGCGCGCCUCGCCAUUGCUCUGUUUCCGCCGCCGCGCGCAGUCACGCGCCGUCGUCGGGCCCCAGCUCGUCGACCACCCUCGCCAACACCGUCCUUGAGCUCCCUAGGACCUCCCCAAACCAUUCCCUAGCACCGCCGUCGCCCGGCUUGCCUCCGCGCCGUGUCGCCCCUUGAGCCGCCGCAUAACGCCACCGCGCGUGCGUCGCCGGUGACCAUCGGGUCCCGCGUCACCGCGUGCGCGUCGCAACCCCAUACCGGUUCGGCUAAGCCCGAUCCUGCGCGCCCUUCACUCUUCUCGCGCGCGGCCACGUCGGCGUGCCGGCGAGAUUGGCUGCCGCCACCAGCCGUUGUCGCGCGUCGUCUUCCUGAUCCGUGCCGUGGAAUGAGUUCCCCUUCUCCUCCUGCCGCCAGUGCUAGCCGCCCCUCCGGCUUGCCGCCGUUCGCCGGAUCCCGCCACGCGCCGUGAGCCGUCCGAUGAGCCGCCCGGCCUCCUCUCCCUUCCCCAUCCGACGUGACGUCCACGUUGGCGCCACCUCAGCCGUCGGCCCCGCUUGAGCAGGUCAGCCGAUGCCCAGUCAGCAGCCGCCCCCUCUCUCUUGCUCUUGGGCUUGGCCCAGUAGCCACCCUCCUCCUCGGCCUGAUAAGUAAGACAAACAAAGUCCACAUACACUCUCUUCGUCCAAGCCCAGUGUCCAUCACCCAAGAGCUAAAAGUCCACAAUUACUCCCUCCAAUUGCUCCUCUCUCUCUCACCUUCUUGUUGGCCCCACGUGUCAAUGAGUCAAAGAUAUUCUUGGGAAUAUCUUUUUCCAAUACUCCACACAUAUUUCUCUUUUCUAGAAAUUCAAUAAAUCGUUUCCUAUAUUCCAAAUUCCAUAAACCCAUCCUCUUAAUCCGGAGAUUCCAAUAAUUCGUCCCCUCGAGCCCGUAUGUCAGUGGAUGUCAAUAAUAUUCUUGAGAAUAUUAUUUCUAUAAAUUCCAUAAACCAUUUCUCGUAUUCCAGAAAAUUCCGACAAAUCAUCUCCUUGUCCAGAAAAAUUCAUUUAAACUUCCAAAAUUCAUAUCCCUCGAUCCGUUCGUCCGAUUGCCUCCGUUCCACUUCCAGUAAUUCCAUUGAAUUGUGAUCUAUCUAAUAGCACUAUUAAUUAGCCUAAAUAGGACAUUUUAUUUGGUCUUUGCUUAGGUUUUUGAUUGUUUGCGCCUAGUUGCGAUUAUCGGAUAUUUUUCUUCAAGUGGAUUUCUCGAAGAUUUGUGAAGCUUCGUGAAGACCCUGAGCAAGGCAAGCCACCUUUGAACAUAUUGAGCCUAUAUUUGAACUUAAUUAUAUUGCUUGCAAAAUAUUAUGCAUUGAUAGGAUUGCACUUAAUCUGUUUGCCCCGUCUGCAAGGCAAACCGGUGGGCCUACCUAACUUGUUGCAUCUGAUCCUUCUAUUGUUAAUUGUUAUAUCAUGUUCCCUUGUAACCAUCUAGUUGCGCCUCAAUAAUUCGUGCACUCUGUGCGAGUAUUGUCACACCCAGAAAUUCUCGAACCAGAAUUUCUAAGCUGAAUGUGCAUUAAAUCCCUGUCCAGGACCAGCUAGGGUACACAAACGACAAUUGUUGACAUACAGACCCACGUCUUACAAAAAUAUAAAAGAUUACAAAUGCAGCGGGAAAGAUUAAAGCGAGGUAAACCGGGAAGCUUGACUUCAGCAGCGGGCGACUCCACUCCACAGGCAAACCUUGACGGCAGCAACGAAACCAACCUCUCUGAGACGGCUCCAACUGAGAAGAACUUCAACUCUGGUGUGGGGGAAAAGAGAGCAAGACUGAGUACUACCCACUGUACUCAGCAAGUCAUACCGGAAGAGGAGGUAUGAUGCAGGAUAUAACCAAAGGAAGCUAGGGGUUCUUUUGCAUAAAGCAGGCAUUUCAAAGCAGUAGUUGAAAGCAGUAAAACAGCUGUAGUAAUUAAUCAAUAUUAACCAAUCACUGUCCAACGCUACACCACGUUGCAACAGGCCCAACCAACCACCUAAACUACACCAGUUCAUUAAGCUAAACUAGGGGUGAGACUAAUCACGGUGAAUCUGGUUGAUCGCCCAUAACCGCGGGCACGGCUAUUCGAAUAGUUUUACUCUGGCCAGAGGUGUACAACUGUACCCACAAGACACGAUUCCACACAUGUCGCCAUGCCCCGAAGUAUCACCAUGAUACUGCAAAGGGGGAAAUCGUGACAAGACCCUCCACAUAACCUUCCCCUAACCAUCCACACCACGCUAAGGUUUCACCCCCACCCCUCAAAAGGCAGUGGGCAGUCCCCUCUUGCGCCGCGGUGAAUCCGGCAGCUGGACAACCGAACACCUCGGCCGACCCAACUCCAUCACGCCCACCCUCGCCACCGGUGCCUAGGAAAGGGUCGAGCUAUACUUCAGAUCAAGCAGUUACCCACUCCCGCUUGUGGUAAGCACGGUAAGUCUCCCAGGGUUUCUCGUGAACCGGUCCUUAACUGCCAUGGGUGCGACCAGCAAAACCAUGCACUCACAGCCCGCCAUUCAGAAUAUUUUAAUUAACUGACACCCUUGCGGUGGCACCAAUCUAAAGCUAUGCCAAUAGACAAAGUCUAUGUAAUAAUGUGAUCCCCAUUUGUGUACUAGUUGAACUAAGCAUGGCUAAGCAUUCCCUAAGCCAACAUCUAGUCAUUUUGAUACCCAAGUUAUCAAUGGCAUAAGGUAACCAAUAUGUGGCUGAGGAAUAGGACCCAUCCCACAUUACAUUGUAAAAGAAUGCAACAUUUAAUAGAAAUGCGGGAUAUCUGUAAAUUGGGUACAAUAUGAUCAAACGUAUUGCAUGACUUGCCUUGCUCUCGAACUGAUGAGACCUCAGCAACGUCUUCGAGAAACCGCGGAUCGACGAAACGGCCAAAACCUACGCGACAAACAAAGCACACAAGCAAAACAUGCUAUAAGACUACAGAAACAGGAAACAAAACCAUUUUUAAUGGAUUCUUUGCAUUUUUCUUGAUUUACUGAGACUUGAAUGGACUUAAACGGAGCUCGGAUGAAUUACUUAAGAAUUUUAGAAGAUAAACUGUGUUUUUACUAAUAAAGAAAAAGCCUUAAUCAUUUUAUUGCGCAAUAAAGCCCAGGGCUGACGUCAGCGAAGGGGGGGGCGCUGGCACGUGGGCCCCACGGGUCAGCGGCUCCAAAGGGAGGGAGGUGGCUCCUGGCAGGUGGGCCCCACCAGGCGGUGGCUCAAAGGGGAGGCGAGGGAGGCGCCGGCCGGGCUCGGCUCUGCCUCAAGGCCGACCGGCCGACCAAGGCGAGGCGGCGGCGAGGCACGGCCACCGACGGCGGUGACCGGCGGUGCGGGAAGCGGCGGCGACGGCCGAAAGGCGGCGGCGCAUGGCCGGAGCAGCGGCGUGGCCGGCGCUCGCGGGAAGGUGAGGAAAGGAGGGGGAGGGAGGACUCACCGGCGACACGACGACCGGAGCGGAAGACGAAGGCGGCGACGACGACCCGACGAGAGGAGGGGCGGACGAGCGGCGGCGACACCUAGAGGAGGGGAGGAGAGGAGUUAGGGAUGGAGAAGGCGACCGCGACGACCAAAGUGGCUGGCCGGAGACGGAGGGGAAUGGAUAGCUCACCGGCUCGCGAGGGAGAUGGGGUUCCGGUGGGGUUCCGGCGACGCGAGGCAGUGGCCGAGAUGGCCCACACGGCGGCGGAGCUAGCGGCGGCGGCGGCUUGGCGCGGCGGCGGCCCUAGUGGCGACGGCACGCGGCCGGAGAUGGGCGGCGGCGGCGGAGCUCGGCGAGCGCGGCGCGACGGCGGUAAAGGGCGUGGGAGAGGACGGUGAAUGGGGGAAAUGAGAGAGAGCUCGAGUGAGGGUUUUUAUGGCGAGGGAGGGGCGGAAACGGCCGGGGAUGGCCCCUAUUUGGCCGGCGACGUGGAGAGGUGGAGGAGAGAGAGAGGGUGUUGGGGGAUUUCAAAUCCCCCACCACUUGCGGGCGCGCGCGCGCGGGAGAUGCGGGGGAGAGGGCGGCGACGUGGGCGCGAGGUGCGGGCGCAGAGUGGAGGCGCGACGUGGAGCGGAGAAGGCGGCGGUGCGGGCGGUUGGAGCUCCGGCUCCAACGACCGGAGGUAGGGGACGACCGACAGGUGGGCCCCACCUGUCGGCGCCCGAAAGAGAAAGGGAGGGAGGGAGGACUUCGGGGAGGGGAAAGGAGGAGCGGGCCGGCCCAGGAAAGGGGUGCCGAGCGCGGGGAGAGAGAUGGGCCGAUGGCCCAUCUAGAGAAAAAGGAAGGAAAAGAAAAGAAAAAGAGAAGGAUUUUCCUGGGAUUAGAUAUUGCACUUUGGUGAUUUUUAAUUGGUUAAAAUUAUUUCCAAGGCUCUGAAAAUUCCACUAAAAAUCUUGUUAAUGCAUUGGAGCAUGGGGAACUCAAGAAAAAUUCCACCACGCUAUUUUCGAUUAUUAAUUGCAUUUAUUAAUUAUGGAGUUAGCUCUAGGUUAAUUAAGAUAAUUUCUUCGGACGAUUUAUUUAACAAAUAUUUAAAGCAAGGAAAAAGGGGGAAACUUCUAGGCGUGACAAGUAUCGACGGUCGCCUUUAAACUUAAAAUUUGAGUAACUUCUUGGGUAACACUUGGUUUACAAAAUCUUUGGAAAACCCGACGCCUGGGUCGGUGCCUUGUGAAAGAAAAUGAGUUUUAAAAAUGAAACUCGCGACACAAGGCCAUUCCUGGGUGGAAUACUUGUGCGGUCGCAUUUAAGGACCGAUUCCUUCGGAAUUACAUCCGAGCAUAUAACAGUGUGACCACAUGGGUGUAAUGGGACGCUUCUGGCUAAGUAAUUAGCUAAUCAGGGGAACCAUGAUGCCAAGAGACAUGUGGAUUCAACGGGGUGGUGUCGGGGAGAACCCUCGGGCUUCCUAGUACAGUAUGGUCUGGGACCUAACCUGUUGUUGGUCUGGGACCCCUCUCGUUGGCAUAUGGCAACCCUGUGUCGGCUUUGGAAAUGCCUUGUCGUGAAAACCUCAAAGUCGCUAGACGUGGCUGUUCUGCACGGGCUGGGUGACCUAGGUUAGUAACGUCGUGUGGGUAAAGUGUACCCCCUCUGCAGAGGUUAUUAAACUGUUCGAACAGCCGUGCCCACGGUCAUGGACGGAUGUGAGGUAAUUCCUUAGCGUAGUUUUUGUUUUACCCUGUUUUAUGAAAAGGUGUUAAGGUUUGGGAAACCUAAUGCUUGGGAAGCAUUUAGCUGUCCGGGGAACAGUGGGACCGGGAGUCCUUGGAAGUGAUUGGUCGUUUGGGGACCACUAUUAUCGGGAAGUUUGGAAAAUUGGUUUGGUUUGGGAAAACUAGAUUUGAAGCCAAACUCUUGGAGUUGUGCAAAUCUUGAUAAAUAAAUUUGUUACUUCUCACCCCAACCGAGCUGAGACUUUGUCUCGCUCUGGUUGUGGAAAGCACACACUUAGGCCCCCUUUGAUUCAAAGGAAAUUCAUAGGAAUUUUAGAGGAUUUUAUUCCUAUAGGAAUUUUUUCCUACAAAGCCCUUUGAAUCAAAGGAAUAAACCCUAUGGAAUCCUAUGAAAUUCCUAUGUAAUGCCUCUUCCCAUAGAAGUUUUGGAGGAAUUUUAACAAGAGGUAGAACCUCAUGGAAGAAAUCAUUUGAGUCUCUAUCUCUCCUCAAAUUCCUGUGUUUUUCCUGUGGUCCAAUCAAACGGUCAUUCCUAUGUUUUUCAUGUGUUUUGCAAUCCUAUGUUUUACACUUACAUUCCUGUCAGAAUCCUAUGUUUUUCCUAUUCCUCCGUUUUUUCAUUCCUAUGAUUCAAAGGGGCCCUUAGAUUGUUGAAAACCUUGAAAACAAAACUGAUUGCUAAAUAAACAGCCUUCCCUUGAAGCUUGCAUUAACCACCUAAGUUCCCCUGGCUUGCUGAGUACGUAAGUACUCACCCUUGCUCUCUAUAAAAAUAUAGUUCUGCCAGCUCCGAAGAUGAAGUUGAAGUGAAGUGAAGAUUAGGGUUUCGUCCUAGUUCCCUGCCGUUGCCUGUGGCGUUGGGUGUUAGUCCGUUGGUUGGUUCCGCUGCUGCUGCUGUUGUUGGUGUUUGCCUCGUCCGUGUCGCCGGUUGCAUUCUCGGGCUGUCUGAGCUGCAACCUAAGUUAAGGUAAAUAAGUCCUCUAUUAAUUAUAAGGAUUUGCAAUGAUUCAUAUUUGUCACCGUGGGUACCAGCGCUAUGUCCUGGGACUGGUACUGAGAUCGUGGUUUCGUAGGACGCGGUUCACGCCAUUUUCCUACGACACGCUCCUGUCAGGUGCCGUUGUACGGCGGUGCCAGAUUGGGGUGUGACAUAUAUGGGCUGUGAAAUUUAGAUUAUCCGCCAAAAUGUUUAUUGGAUAAUCCACUUAAAAUAGCGGAUAAUCCGUAUCUGUCGGUGAUAUGCACCUGGAGGUACCAAGGUUAAAGGGGAGAGACCGCCCUCAGCAUCCAUGUGGCACCUUCCCCCUAGGAGGUCGGGCCGUGGAUGGGUGGCAGCUGCCCCUUUCGAACCCGAGGGGUCGGACUGCCCCCGACCCCUCCUGGUGGUCACGGCGUGGCCGCCAUGCAAGUGAGGCUUGGUGGAUGCUCCUCAGCGCUCACCUAACCGCAUUUGGUGUAGGCAGAGCGAGCGCAUCAUGACGGAGGUCCUCCCCGUGUCGGCCUUCGUCAGCCGGCAUGAUUUGAUGGGCCUUGCACAGCAGCCGACGUGCAGACGACUUCCGGGUUAAGGCACGAGGCACGCAUUUAAUGUAGAGAAUAUUUUUCCUCUUCACUAGGUGACACUCCCAGUGUAUGUGGAAACCCCUCGGAGUAUAAAAGGAGGUCCGUGUCCAGUGAGGAGGGGGAUCGAAAGGUGGGAGGCUUUGUUCUAGCUUGUACACCAGAGAUUCAGAAACUUUGUAAGCUCAGAAAAAUCAUCAUACACAGGGAUAGGGUAUUACGUUACUUAGCGGCCCGAACUUGGAUAACUCCCUAGUGCCUCAUCUUCAUCGAGAGGGCCCGACCCCCUUGAUUUCUCCCAAUCCUUUCGACUCCUCAACUUUCAUCCGCUGCCCCCCGCCGAACUAACAAAGGAGAGGUCUCACGGUCCCCCGCUCGAGAAGUUCACCCUUCGAUAGUAUCCGUCGAAUAUUACCAAUACCAUAUCCUCAUCUGUAUUCACUUUCAUAUUUAUCAUAUAGCUAAAAAUUUUUACCAUAUCCUUAUUUGGAACGGAUUUUCACCCUAGUGACUAGUCCCAGUGCGCACACGUUCCAGUCAGUCCGAAUUGGACUGUGCCGGCAUUGUCAUCGCAUGCCAUUCAUCCACUCGACUUUGAGAACCCCUAGCCGUCCAAAAUACUCCAUGGAAACUCACGAGCAAACGCCGAAACGCCAUGGAAACAAUUUCCUGUCCUGUUAAUUAACCUUUACCUUGUGUGCACGACAACUCAUACGACAGCGAUCCGUCGUCCUUUUUCUUUGACUCGGUGACUUUGUGAGAGAUGUUUUAUGCCGAUUAUAUCUACUAUUUGAUAUGAUCGUGCGGUUGAUCCAUCGCCGCGCGGUUCACGCGCCAAAUGACGAGUCGAAGUGUAUGCGUAGUUUGACCACAUUCAGGCGAUUCAUAGCUUAAUAAGCUCCGAAGAAGCUAUAUAUACCUCUGCAAUGCUCGCUAGCUAGCUAAGCUGGCAACUGCAAGUGAAGCGGCGACAUGACGACGACGACGACGACGACGAGGAGGUUUGUUCAGCUUGCAGCUUGCGCGGUGGCGGUGCUGCUCGCCGUGGCGGCGAGCGGAGCGGCAGCGCAGGGCGUCGGGUCGGUCAUCACGGAGGCGGUGUUCAACAGCAUGCUGCCCAACCGCGACAACUCGCUGUGCCCGGCGAGGGGCUUCUACACGUACGACGCCUUCAUCGCCGCCGCCAACUCCUUCCCGGCGUUCGGCACCUCCGGCGGCAGCGCCGAGCUCAUCCGGCGGGAGCUCGCCGCCUUCUUCGGCCAGACCUCCCACGAGACCACCGGUACAUUAUUAAUUACAGUGUGCAGAUUAAUCUUACAGCCAUUUUUUUACCAUCUUGAUCU
This 14155-nucleotide long non-coding RNA is filed under the name Oryza sativa (Asian cultivated rice). Its description in RNAcentral is "long non-coding RNA (OSAT_LNC001887)". The record is from RNAcentral. Lineage: Eukaryota; Viridiplantae; Streptophyta; Magnoliopsida; Poales; Poaceae.